RNAcentral lists this transfer RNA (72 nucleotides) under Hyaloraphidium curvatum. Its description in RNAcentral is "tRNA-Met". It matches the Rfam family "tRNA". Rfam says of the family: Transfer RNA (tRNA) molecules are approximately 80 nucleotides in length. Their secondary structure includes four short double-helical elements and three loops (D, anti-codon, and T loops). Further hydrogen bonds mediate the characteristic L-shaped molecular structure. tRNAs have two regions of fundamental functional importance: the anti-codon, which is responsible for specific mRNA codon recognition, and the 3' end, to which the tRNAs corresponding amino acid is attached (by aminoacyl-tRNA synthetases). tRNAs cope with the degeneracy of the genetic code in two manners: having more than one tRNA (with a specific anti-codon) for a particular amino acid; and 'wobble' base-pairing, i.e. permitting non-standard base-pairing at the 3rd anti-codon position. The record is from RNAcentral. Lineage: Eukaryota; Fungi; Monoblepharomycota; Hyaloraphidiomycetes; Hyaloraphidiales; Hyaloraphidiaceae.
AGCAGGAUGGAGCAAAUGGUAGCUCAUUGGUCUCAUCAGCCAAAGAUGAGGGUUCGAUUCCCGCUCCUGCAA